This 300-nucleotide ribosomal RNA is filed under the name Triticum aestivum (bread wheat). RNAcentral describes it as "partial small subunit ribosomal RNA". Lineage: Eukaryota; Viridiplantae; Streptophyta; Magnoliopsida; Poales; Poaceae. The record is from RNAcentral.
AUGGCCGCCGCCGCCGCGAGAUCCUUCCUCCGAUCCGGAUCCGCCACCUCCUCCCUCCGCGGCGCGGCCGCCAGGGCCGCCUCCCGCUCCGGGCCGGCAACCCCCUCGAGGCGGCUCCUCUCCUCUCCUCCCCGCGCCCGCCUCGCCCUAAGGUCGCCGCUGGAGAUGAGCAGCGCCUGCUUGGAGUCGCUGAUGCCCAUGCACAGCGCGACGGCUUCGGCGCUCAUGACGUCGCUCCUCGCCGCCCCGGCUCGCGUUGGUUCCUGCUGGAUCUCCGAAGCUGGCAAUGACGACCUGUGA